UACGUAGGGUGCUAGCGUUGUUCGGAAUUAUUGGGCGUAAAGCGCGUGUAGGUGGCCACGUAAGUCAGAUGUGAAAGCCCUCGGCUCAACCGGGGAAGUGCAUUUGAAACUGCAUGGCUAGAGGACGGUAGAGGAAGGUGGAAUUCCUAGUGUAGAGGUGAAAUUCGUAGAUAUUAGGAGGAAUACCGGUGGCGAAGGCGGCCUUCUGGGCCGUUCCUGACACUGAGACGCGAAAGCGUGGGUAGCAAACAGG
This 253-nucleotide unclassified non-coding RNA is filed under the name uncultured Oligoflexales bacterium. RNAcentral describes it as "contains 16S-23S intergenic spacer region". It matches the Rfam family "Bacterial small subunit ribosomal RNA", at positions 524 to 776 of the family's 1533-position model. The record is from RNAcentral. Lineage: Bacteria; Pseudomonadati; Bdellovibrionota; Oligoflexia; Oligoflexales.